GCAAGUCGAACGAAUCCUUCGGGAUGAGUGGCGGACGGGUGAGUAACGCGUGAGUAUCUGCCCUAAGGUGGGGGACAACAGUUGGAAACGACUGCUAAUACCCCAUAUGCCGAGAGGUGAAAGGUUUACUGCCUUAGGAUGAGCUCGCGUCUGAUUAGCUAGAUGGUGGGGUAACGGCUUACCAUGGCGACGAUCAGUAGCUGGUCUGAGAGGAUGAUC
This 219-nucleotide ribosomal RNA is filed under the name uncultured bacterium. RNAcentral describes it as "partial 16S ribosomal RNA". It matches the Rfam family "Bacterial small subunit ribosomal RNA", at positions 57 to 305 of the family's 1533-position model. The record is from RNAcentral.